GGCUCAGGUUUAGCGUGUCUGUCCGCAUGCUUGAGUGAAAUUAAAGACCGACUAAACGUGUAGUGCUGAAGGUAGAGUAAUUUCGGACGCGGGUUCAACUCCCGCCAGCUCCACCA
Molecule: transfer RNA, 116 nt
Filed under: Rodentibacter sp. JRC1
Lineage: Bacteria; Pseudomonadati; Pseudomonadota; Gammaproteobacteria; Pasteurellales; Pasteurellaceae
Description: tRNA-Leu
Rfam family: transfer-messenger RNA
About the family: Bacterial tmRNA, also known as 10Sa RNA or SsrA, is named for its dual tRNA and mRNA-like properties. Its role is to liberate the mRNA from a stalled ribosome.
Source: RNAcentral